This 1297-nucleotide ribosomal RNA is filed under the name metagenome. RNAcentral's name for it is "bacterial LSU rRNA". It matches the Rfam family "Bacterial large subunit ribosomal RNA", at positions 1635 to 2925 of the family's 2925-position model. The record is from RNAcentral.
GACACGACCGUACCGCAAACCGACACUGGUGCGCGAGAUGAGUAUUCUAAGGCGCUUGAGAGAACUCAGGAGAAGGAACUCGGCAAAUUGACACCGUAACUUCGGAAGAAGGUGUGCCUUUAGUAGGUGAACCUGUACAAGGGGAGCCCAAUGAGGUUGCAAAAAAUCGGUGGCUGCGACUGUUUAAUACAAACACAGCACUCUGCAAACACGAAAGUGGACGUAUAGGGUGUGACGCCUGCCCGGUGCUGGAAGAUUAAAUGAUGGGGUGCAAGCUCUUGAUUGAAGUCCCAGUAAACGGCGGCCGUAACAAUAACGGUCCUAAGGUAGCGAAAUUCCUUGUCGGGUAAGUUCCGACCUGCACGAAUGGCGUAACGAUGGCCACACUGUCUCCUCCUGAGACUCAGCGAAGUUGAAAUGUUUGUGAUGAUGCAAUCUCCCCGCGGAAAGACGGAAAGACCCCAUGAACCUUUACUGUAGCUUUGUAUUGGACUUUGAACAGAUCUGUGUAGGAUAGGUGGGAGGCUUUGAAGUGUGGUCGCUAGAUCGCAUGGAGCCAACGUUGAAAUACCACCCUGGUGUGUUUGAGGUUCUAACCUAGGCCCGUAAUCCGGGUCGGGGACAGUGCAUGGUAGGCAGUUUGACUGGGGCGGUUUCCUCCCAAAGCGUAACGGAGGAGUUCGAAGGUACGCUAGGUACGGUCGGACAUCGUGCUAAUAGUGCAAUGGCAUAAGCGUGCUUAACUGCGAGACUGACAAGUCGAGCAGAUGCGAAAGCAGGACAUAGUGAUCCGGUGGUUCUGUAUGGAAGGGCCAUCGCUCAACGGAUAAAAGGUACUCUGGGGAUAACAGGCUGAUACCGCCCAAGAGUUCAUAUCGACGGCGGUGUUUGGCACCUCGAUGUCGGCUCAUCUCAUCCUGGGGCUGUAGCCGGUCCCAAGGGUAUGGCUGUUCGCCAUUUAAAGAGGUACGUGAGCUGGGUUUAAAACGUCGUGAGACAGUUUGGUCCCUAUCUUCCGUGGGCGCUGCAGAUUUGAGGAAGCCUGCUCCUAGUACGAGAGGACCGGAGUGGACACACCUCUGGUGUAUCGGUUGUCACGCCAGUGGCAUUGCCGAGUAGCUAUGUGUGGAAGAGAUAACCGCUGAAAGCAUCUAAGCGGGAAACUCGUUUCAAGAUGAGAUCUGCCGGGGCCUUGAGCCCCCUAAAGAGUCGUUCAAGACCAGGACGUUGAUAGGUCGGGUGUGGAAGCGCAGUAAUGCGUUAAGCUAACCGAUACUAAUUGCUCGUGCGGCUUGAC